UCAAUUUUCUGCCUGGGAAUCUCAGGAUUUCCUCCCUCUGUACCUGGCUUGUGAAUAUAUCUUUAAACAGAAAACCAGGGUCUGUGGCUGUGCUUACCUUUCUUGCUUUCCUUCCCUCAGAAUCACUGUCCUGCCCCAGCUGCACUAAGUCUGAAAUAGACUUGUUUCAAAUACUUUUGUACAUUUUUCUACCUGUUGUAGAGUGAGAAGAAAUACACACUCUUUGGCUAAACCCAAUGUCAGUGAGGAGGGCAGGGAGAAGAGGAGUGUGAAUGAAGGUUUUUGAAAUGGCUAAAUCUAUAAGACCAGAACUUUCUCAACCAAAUGGUCCCAUCAAGGCUCAUCAAGUAUUUUCUCAGAAUGAGGU
Molecule: non-coding RNA, 367 nt
Organism: Microcebus murinus (gray mouse lemur)
Lineage: Eukaryota; Metazoa; Chordata; Mammalia; Primates; Cheirogaleidae
Source: RefSeq, a predicted model, not a curated record